RNA transcript from Cucurbita moschata (crookneck pumpkin), 1653 nucleotides. RefSeq lists it as uncharacterized. The transcript has 6 exons. Lineage: Eukaryota; Viridiplantae; Streptophyta; Magnoliopsida; Cucurbitales; Cucurbitaceae. The record is from RefSeq and is a predicted model, not a curated record.
GGAGGAAAAAGAAGAACACCCAAAUAAAAAAAAAUUAAGGGGUGGAAGAGGAAGAUGCCCUGAAGAACAGAGAGAGAGGGAGGAGCGUCAAAAUUCCGAUGAGUUCGCCGUCUUCCGCCAUUACUCUUCGAGAUCAGACGGUGAAUAAUAGCCAUUGAUGAUCCAUUUACAGAGCUCCUCCGCCACUGAAACCCUUCUUCAUCAAUUUGCCGUAAAGUUCUCACAAAUUCCCUGUUUCUGUGUUCUUUAGAUUCUCUGAUUUCUCCCUUUAUUCAGGAGCGAUUAUCUCAAAUUUCGUUCAAAAAACCAAUGCUCAGAUCUGCGUUGAUCAUUUGUGUCAUUGAGUGAAAUUCAAUGAUUGGUAAUCGAAAAACGACGUAACAGUGUUCUUUUGAAUUCUCCUUCUCAUCCUGUGAAAUUUUGGGGGAAAUCUGUGGUUCGAUCGAUUAAUGGCAGCUUCAAGGAAUGUGGUGGGGCUGAAGGAUGAGGAGAAGCUGAAGGAAGAGAACUCGACGGCUAAGAAGGCUAAAUUUGAGAGGUUUCCAUUGUCGAAGUGGGAGGUAGCGGCGGCUUUUGGCAUCUUCCUUGUCUGCUCCACUGGCCUCGUUUGUGUGUAUAUGACGAUGCCCUCUGCAGAAUACCAGAGCGUUAAGAUCCCACGAACGCUUUCGGAUCUUCGGAUGCUUAAGGAUCUCUUUGCAAAUUAUGCCAAAGAUCAUCCAGCACAAUUCAUUCUAGGUUAUUGCUCCACCUACAUAUUCAUGCAAACGUUCAUGAUUCCUGGAACAAUUUUCAUGUCAUUGCUGGCUGGAGCUCUAUUUGGUGUUAUCAGAGGCCUUCUAUUAGUUGUCUUUAAUGCAACAGCUGGUGCAUCCUCUUGCUUUUUUCUCUCCAAGUUGGUUGGAAGACCUUUAGUUUACUGGGUGUGGCCCGAAAAGUUGAAAUUGUUCCAGGCAGAGAUAGCGAAGCAUCGAGAAAAGCUACUCAAUUAUAUGCUCUUUCUAAGGAUAACACCGACGUUACCGAACCUUUUUAUCAACUUGGCUUCACCUAUUGUUGACAUCCCAUUUCAUGUGUUCUUCUUGGCUACUUUAAUUGGCCUUGUUCCAGCAUCCUAUAUCACUGUCCGAGCUGGACUUGCACUCGGAGAUCUGAAAUCAGUCAAGGAUUUAUAUGAUUUCAAAACUUUGUCUGUGCUUUUCUUUAUUGGUUUCAUCUCCAUUCUGCCCACACUUCUAAAGAGGAAACGAGUAUACGAAUGAACGCAAUUUUUUCGGGCUCUGUGUAUGGAUGGCUGCUAUAUCAGAUUGAUAUUGAUUUCAAGUGCUCUGAUCGACGAUGCUCGUUGUGGUGAUACCGUGGCGAGGUUCAGAUGCAAAAAGGUGUACCAUCAAGCUGUUAUAUAGCUCAAAUUAUACGUCGUUCGGUAGAUGAAUCGGCAGUUGUUUGGAGGGUUUAAAAGGAAAAAAUAGGUUGAUAUACUAAAAUUAGACUCAAAAGAAGAUUACAAUGAUUGGUGUGGACUGCAGAUUGUGAUGUGAAAGGAAGAAAAACAACAUUUUGUGGUGGGGUUUUAAUCUUUAUUUUUGUAAAUUUUUUUCGAGAUUAAUUGAUAUGUUCGAGUCCUCAAAGUCGGAUUUUGAGGUUAAUUUU